CAGGGAGAGACAGAGAGGGAGGGAGACAGAGGGUCAGAAGCGAGCUCUGUUCUGACAGCAGUCAGCCUGAUGCGGGGCUUGAAUUCACUAACCUCGAGAUCAUGACCUGAGCCGAAGUUGGACGCUCAGCAGACUGAGCCACCCAGGUGCCCCCAAACGGACAGGUUCUAACCAACCGGGCUGUGACUUUCUUGGCGCAAAGAUUGUGUUUGCUCCUGUUUGCAGCUUCGCACAAAGGACAGACAGUAAAUUAAGACACAGAGGUACACAGACAGACGACCCUGCGAGGACCCGGGGAGCAGGCUGCCAUCCACGAGCUAAGGAGAGGGGCCUUGGAAGAAACCAACCCCAUUCACACCUCGAUCUUGGACGUCCAGCCUCCAGAACCGCGAGACAAACGUCUGUGGUUUGAGCCACACGGUCUGGGUGCCUGUGAUGGCAGCCACACGCUAAGACAACACUUUCAUCUGCCCCAUUCCCAACGCUGUCUUCCCCUCCUUGCUUGGUUUUUCUCCUUAGUCUCUAUUCCCACCUGGCAGAUCCGAUGUCUUAUUUAUCUGGUCCCUCGUCUGUCCCAAAGCGCCCUCCCUCCCGUGCCAACUCUACCUUGCUGGGCGCCCUUGGCCUCUGCAGACCACGCCUCCUCCAGACGGCUCCUCACUGUGAGGGGUGACACUGAGGCCUGGUGGGGUCUGGAGCCAGGGACUCCAGAGCCACACGGCCCCUGCCUGUCCCUCGUGUGACAUCGCAUAUGCUGACCUAUCCAAUCCUCUUUGCGCUGGCCUGGCCUUCUACUCAGCCACGUGUGGGGAUCUCUGAGCCAGAGUCGGGCUGAGGUCUGCUGGUUCCUGGAACGAAUACACCCCCAUGACUGGGCUCUUCCUUCGAUGCAGCCAAGGACGAUGCUGUAUUUUCUCUCCUCUCCAAAAAGGCACCUCUGUUUUCCAAAUCCGGUGGACCAGACUGUGCUAUUUACUCGCCAGCUUGUCUUUUUUUCCCCGGGGCUGCAGGCUGGCGGCUUCCAGGAGCAGAGGCCAGAAUGACUUGCCUCUCUUUUACAAAGGUGCUGGGGUCUCGCCCUCUUUCAUUCAGAGGCAGGGCCGGUGUCUGAUGGCUGAGGUGACGAGUGUUGCUAUCUUACCCUCUCAUUUUGGGGGAGUGGCGGGGGGGAUAGAAAGAGGCCCCAAAGAGGAGAGGACAGGGGCAUCGGACCUUGGAUCGGAUGAGCUCCCAGCUCUCUGUAGCUCUCCAAAUAAGCACUGAUGGUCCUGCCUCAGCCCUCCCCCCCUUUGGUAGAGAGGUUUUCACCCAUAUCUCUAGGGGCAGAAGGCCAUGGGUUGGGGUCAUGGUAUUUAAAAGCCACUGGCUGGUAGGCGCCUGAGGGCUUGGAACCAGCAGAAAAACCCCAGGGGCUGAUCUCCCUGUCCACCCCGCCCCCCAGCCAUUCCUUUCUCGGUGGAUUGCCACGGCCCUGACCUUGGCGGACAGUGGUGCUACGUGCCCUGCUUUAGUAACCUCCCCAUCCGAGCCCCAUGUCCCCCCCACCCCCCCCCCCCCCACCCCCUGAGCCCUGCCACACAGCCAUCGUGAACCUCUUCCAGCUACUGGAACUGCUCUUGCUCACCUCUGGGCCGUCACAUGUUCUGUUCCCUCUGACAAAACACUCUCCCCUGCCCUGUUUGGCUGUGUCCUAAUCCCCCAGCAGGUUUCGGCUUCCGUGGGAUACUCCCAAGUAUGGUCACCCUUGACCACCAUAAAUGGGUUAGAGGCCCGACCCCGUGCACCCCUGUAUCUCAGAAUGCCCCAGGAUGGCACAGGCAGGACCACAUGGGGCAGCCUCUGGGCUCAGCCACCUCCUCACCUGGUACGUCCGCUCUGCGAGGCCCAGGCCCGCGUGCUGUUUCUCUCUCCCCAGGGCCUGCACGCUGGAGUCAGUUGAUAACUAUUGGAUACAAGAAGCCCGUGCACCCAGUGCCAGGCACGGAGCUGGGCACGGGGACACAGGGCGUAACAAGAGACCCAGGAUUGGGGUCUCCUGGGGCUGGCUGAGGGAAUCAGGGAGUUACCGCACGGUCCCCACAGUGGUUUUACAUGGGACUCUAGGGUUCUUUCGCUGUCCACAGGUGUGAGGUGUGUUCCCACAAGAAGCACCCUGUCUUUGUGGGAAGGUGGGGUUUUCUGGCUCUCGGGUCCCGAGUCAGGGUCCGCUCGAAAGGCUGGGGUUACGGAGCACCUGGGGCCCGUCCUCUGGAAAGUAGAUAGGGAAGAACGAGCACAUUGCAAAUGACGGUGAACCCAAGGCGUUUUGUCACCUGGGUCUGCCCACGGGACUCCCGAGAGUUCCCCCGGGCGAGGGGCUCACUGGAGCUCCCCGCUUUCAGGGACUGUCAUCAACCCCUCCCCUCCCUGUGAUUUUGCUUUGCUUCCCAUGCAAUGAUUGUUUCCAAAGAACAUGUCAACCCGCAGUCGCACUUUUUGGUCUAAAAGCGAGAGCACUUCACGGCCCCUCCUGCAAGGGCUUCGGCAGAAUGUGAUAAAGAGGCCUUUGUAGCCGGUAAUUAAAGUGGAGGAACUCGCUGUAUUUUAUAGGCAAGUCCUCUGAGCUCUGUGUAACGUCCUGGGAGAAACCUCACAAUCGAUUCACGUUUAUAUGGGCCCAUUAAUCCGCCAAGCAUGGCGUUGACUUUGGUCCAUUCCAAUGACCCUGCUGUCCAGGUAAUAAUAAGCCUUUUCGGUCUCAUGUUCUUUUUGCUCCCACUUCUACUUUUUCGUAGGCAGAAGAGAAAACAAGCAGAGGAAUGAAACGCUCUGCACGACCCCCGCGUCAGAGCUGGUUUGGGUUUGGGUGGGCGG
This is a long non-coding RNA of Acinonyx jubatus (cheetah), 2853 nucleotides long. RefSeq lists it as uncharacterized. Lineage: Eukaryota; Metazoa; Chordata; Mammalia; Carnivora; Felidae. The transcript is spliced from 4 exons. The record is from RefSeq and is a predicted model, not a curated record.